UAUUAGGCAGUCCCUUGCCAACAUUAUCUGAUCUUGGAAGCUAAAGAGAGUUGGAUAUGGUUAGUACUAAGACAGGAGACUACCUGGGAAUAGCAGAUGCCNUAAGCU
This 108-nucleotide ribosomal RNA is filed under the name Salvator merianae (Argentine black and white tegu). The record is from RNAcentral. Lineage: Eukaryota; Metazoa; Chordata; Lepidosauria; Squamata; Teiidae.